ACUCAACGAGCACGUUGUUAUGGACUUCGCUCGAGACGUUACGAGCAGGCCACACCUCUUUGAGGGAGUUUACUCCAGUGGAAGGUCAAGGCGUCACGGCUAGUACAGAUCCUGAUAUAUAGGAGUUU
Molecule: non-coding RNA, 128 nt
Filed under: unclassified sequences
Source: RNAcentral